GACGACGAAGCUCAAAGGAUGAGCGCAGGGCUUGCCCUGUGGAGCGGGAUCGAUACCCGCCGUCGCCA
This is a non-coding RNA of Phytophthora nicotianae INRA-310, 68 nucleotides long. The record is from the annotation of a RefSeq genome assembly. NCBI's taxonomy places the organism in Eukaryota, Oomycota, Peronosporomycetes, Peronosporales, Peronosporaceae.